Acanthosepion pharaonis is the source of this 110-nucleotide non-coding RNA. NCBI's taxonomy places the organism in Eukaryota, Metazoa, Mollusca, Cephalopoda, Sepiida, Sepiidae. The record is from the annotation of a GenBank genome assembly.
UUACGGUCACAUCAAAUUGAAACGCCGGUUUACUUACGAUCACCGAAGUUAAGCAAUGUUGAGCUUGGUAAGUACCUAGAUGAGUGACCGGUUGGGAAUACCAGGUGUUA